Molecule: RNase P RNA, 372 nt
Filed under: Clostridia bacterium
Lineage: Bacteria; Bacillati; Bacillota; Clostridia
Description: RNase P RNA component class A
Rfam family: Bacterial RNase P class A
About the family: Ribonuclease P (RNase P) is a ubiquitous endoribonuclease, found in archaea, bacteria and eukarya as well as chloroplasts and mitochondria. Its best characterised activity is the generation of mature 5'-ends of tRNAs by cleaving the 5'-leader elements of precursor-tRNAs.
Source: RNAcentral
GAACUAAGUUGGACGGUUGCGCCAUAUGUUGCCGAAAGGUAUUAUGGUGAGGAAAGUCCGUGCUUCGCAGGGCAGAAUAACUGAUAACGUCAGCCGAGGGUGACCUCAGGGAAAGUGCAACAGAAAAUUACCGCAUAGAAUUGCUAUGUAAGGAUGAAAACGUGAGGUAAGAGCUCACGACACCCUAUGGUAACACAGGGUGGGUGUAAACCCUAUUCGAAGCAACACCGUAGGAAGGGAUUUUUGUUUGCCCGACAAGCCAUUUGGCGUCCUUUCAGGUGGCACGCAUUUUGCGGAGCCUUGUGGUGACACAAGGCAAAGAUAGAUGACCGUCUUUAAUGACAGAACACGGCUUACAGACUUAGUUUGCAA